AUGAACGCUGGCGGUAUGCCUAACACAUGCAAGUCGAACGAACUCGCAAGAGAGAGUGGCGGACGGGUGAGUAACGCGUGAGAAUCUGCCUUCAGGAUGGGGACAACAGUUGGAAACGACUGCUAAUACCCAAUAUGCCCUAAGGGGUGAAAGUUAUCUCGCCUGAAGAGGAGCUCGCGUCCGAUUAGCUAGUUGGUGGGGUAAGAGCCUACCAAGGCAGCGAUCGGUAGCUGGUCUGAGAGGAUGAGCAGCCACACUGGGACUGAGACACGGCCCAGACUCCUACGGGAGGCAGCAGUGGGGAAUUUUCCGCAAUGGGCGAAAGCCUGACGGAGCAAUACCGCGUGAGGGAGGAAGGCUUUUGGGUUGUAAACCUCUUUUCUCAAGGAAGAAGCCAGUGACGGUACUUGAGGAAUCAGCAUCGGCUAACUCCGUGCCAGCAGCCGCGGUAAUACGGAGGAUGCAAGCGUUAUCCGGAAUCAUUGGGCGUAAAGCGUCCGCAGGUGGCGUAUCAAGUCUGCUGUCAAAGACUAGAGCUCAACUCUGGAAAGGCGGUGGAAACUGGUAGGCUAGAGUACGGUAGGGGUAGAGGGAAUUCCCAGUGUAGCGGUGAAAUGCGUAGAUAUUGGGAAGAA
This 635-nucleotide ribosomal RNA is filed under the name Xenococcus sp. HSC22. RNAcentral describes it as "bacterial SSU rRNA". It matches the Rfam family "Bacterial small subunit ribosomal RNA", at positions 29 to 706 of the family's 1533-position model. Lineage: Bacteria; Bacillati; Cyanobacteriota; Cyanophyceae; Pleurocapsales; Xenococcaceae. The record is from RNAcentral.